CACGUAGUUAGCCGGGGCUUCUUAUUUAGGUACCGUCAUUUUUUUCUUCCCUAUUGAUAGAAGUUUACAAUCCGAAAACCGUCUUCCUUCACGCGGCGUUGCUGCAUCAGGCUUUCGCCCAUUGUGCAAUAUUCCCCACUGCUGCCUCCCGUAGGAGUUUGGGCCGUGUCUCAGUCCCAAUGUGGCCGGUCACCCUCUCAGGUCGGCUACUGAUCGUCGCCUUGGUGGGCUGUUAUCUCACCAACUAGCUAAUCAGAUGCGGGCCCAUCUUUUACCGAAUAAAUCCUUUCUUUCCUAGAAGAUGCCUUCCAAGAACCGUAUGCGGUAUUAGUCACCGUUUCCAGUGAUUAUUCCCCAGUAAAAGGCAGGUUACCCACACGUUACUCACCCGUCCGCCGCUAAAAUAAUCAAAAGCAAGCUCCCAAUUAUUUCGCUCGACUUGCAUGUGUUAAGCACGCCGCCAGCGUUCAUCCUGAGCCAGGAUCAAACUCU
This 492-nucleotide ribosomal RNA is filed under the name uncultured Eubacteriales bacterium. RNAcentral describes it as "uncultured Clostridiales bacterium partial 16S ribosomal RNA". Lineage: Bacteria; Bacillati; Bacillota; Clostridia; Eubacteriales. The record is from RNAcentral.